UGAUGUUGUGCAGUUUGUUGAUAUUGUCAAAUACACGGAUGAAGAGUAUGAGAAGUCACGCUCGAUAUUUAUCUUCAUAGUUGUGGAACUUGGUAGUGGUUAUUUCAGUGGACAGUAGAGUUAAACAAUUUGUUAUGACCGUGAUGGUUAGUUAUUAUUCUAGAUGUAGCUCAGUUUGUACUUGAUAUGAGAAUAUAAUACACCACCCCAGUAUAUAAAUACAUAUGAGUUUGGAUGAGUUGAUGGAUAUUAUUUGCUUCA
Long non-coding RNA from Juglans microcarpa x Juglans regia, 261 nucleotides. RefSeq lists it as uncharacterized. The record is from RefSeq and is a predicted model, not a curated record. The transcript has 2 exons. NCBI's taxonomy places the organism in Eukaryota, Viridiplantae, Streptophyta, Magnoliopsida, Fagales, Juglandaceae.